UACGAAGGGGGCUAGCGUUGCUCGGAAUUACUGGGCGUAAAGCGCACGUAGGCGGUCUUUUAAGUCGGUGGUGAAAUCCUGGAGCUCAACUCCAGAACUGCCUUCGAUACUGGAAGACUUGAGUCCGGGAGAGGUGAGUGGAACUGCGAGUGUAGAGGUGAAAUUCGUAGAUAUUCGCAAGAACACCAGUGGCGAAGGCGGCUCACUGGCCCGGUACUGGCGCUGAGGUGCGAAAGCGUGGGGAGCAAACAGG
Molecule: ribosomal RNA, 253 nt
Filed under: uncultured bacterium
Lineage: Bacteria
Description: partial 16S ribosomal RNA
Rfam family: Bacterial small subunit ribosomal RNA
Source: RNAcentral